This 482-nucleotide ribosomal RNA is filed under the name uncultured Desulfobacteraceae bacterium. Its description in RNAcentral is "bacterial SSU rRNA". It matches the Rfam family "Bacterial small subunit ribosomal RNA", at positions 901 to 1382 of the family's 1533-position model. The record is from RNAcentral. Lineage: Bacteria; Pseudomonadati; Thermodesulfobacteriota; Desulfobacteria; Desulfobacterales; Desulfobacteraceae.
UUAAAUGAAUUGACGGGGGCCCGCACAGCGGUGGAGCAUGUGGUUUAAUUCGACGCAACGCGAAGAACCUUACCUAGGUUUGACAUCCCGGGGAGUCUCUUGAAAGAGAGAUGUGCCCUUCGGGGAGCCCGGAGACAGGUGCUGCAUGGCUGUCGUCAGCUCGUGUCGUGAGAUGUUGGGUUAAGUCCCGCAACGAGCGCAACCCUUAUCUUUAGUUACCAGCACUUCGGGUGGGGACUCUAGAGAUACUGCCCCGGUCAACGGGGAGGAAGGUGGGGAUGACGUCAAGUCCUCAUGGCCUUUAUGCCUAGGGCUACACACGUGCUACAAUGGGCGGUACAAAGGGUCGCGAUCCCGCGAGGGGGAGCCAAUCCCAAAAGGCCGUCCCAAGUUCGGAUUGGAGUCUGCAACUCGACUACGUGAAGUCGGAAUCGCUAGUAAUCGUGGAUCAGAAUGUCACGGUGAAUACGUUCCCGGGUCUU